CCUACGGGAGGCAGCAGUGAGGAAUAUUGGUCAAUGGACGCAAGUCUGAACCAGCCAUGCCGCGUGCAGGAUGACGGCUCUAUGAGUUGUAAACUGCUUUUGUACGAGGGUAAACCCCGAUACGUGUAUCGGGUUGAAAGUAUCGUACGAAUAAGGAUCGGCUAACUCCGUGCCAGCAGCCGCGGUAAUACGGAGGAUCCGAGCGUUAUCCGGAUUUAUUGGGUUUAAAGGGUGCGUAGGCGGUUUGAUAAGUUAGAGGUGAAAUGUCGGGGCUCAACCCCGAAACUGCCUCUAAUACUGUUGGACUAGAGAAUAGUUGCGGUAGGCGGAAUGUAUGGUGUAGCGGUGAAAGGCCUAGAGAUCAUACAGAACACCGAUUGCGAAGGCAGCUUACCAAACUAUAUCUGACGUUGAGGCACGAAAGCGUGGGUAGCAAACAGGAUUAGAUACCCUGGUAGUC
RNAcentral lists this ribosomal RNA (460 nucleotides) under uncultured bacterium. RNAcentral's name for it is "partial 16S ribosomal RNA". It matches the Rfam family "Bacterial small subunit ribosomal RNA", at positions 338 to 795 of the family's 1533-position model. The record is from RNAcentral.